AGACGCAGCUUUCUUUCUGCACGUUGUCACCGGAUCUGCGGCCCCAAGAAGAAGGGACUCAGGUGUGUACAAAAUAAAGAGGCGGCAGAGGCCAAGCGGGCCUUCUUUCACAGGCGAGGGGAAGGGGGUCCUUCACCCUGGCCCCGGGGUGGGUCGCGGUCCCUGACCUGCGACCUCGCUCUGAAAGAAGGGAAUGCCAGGGAAGGAGCCAGCGACGUGUCUGAGCAGAGCCAGAAGCGCACAAGACCCUGCAGGCAAUCAAAGACUCGGCACACUUUUCAAAUAGAACUUAAGAUGACAAGGGAGACUCCAGCCAGCCAGUCACAUGACUUGACUCCAACAUGCCGCACUUUGAAAGCGUUGUGAAACGGCCAAUCAGCGACAAAGACGGGCCUGUCCGCAUGGCGCUCCUGGGAGAUCCCAACCCGAGGCCAGCUGGAGUUUACCCGGGCCGCCGUCCAGCUCACCUUCUGUGUCCCGGGGACUUGGCAGGAGAGAGGGGGUCGGGGAUCACUGGACUUUGGGGGCCGUUUACAAUUUGCGCCACAACGGGGGCUCACAAGGCCAGGCCACCCCCUGCGCGGGCGGCCGAGCCCACCCAACGGCCCUGACUGACGCGCUGAUGCUGUCAAAUGUUUUUCCGCUUGUUUGCGUCCCGGGACUGCGGUCCGCGUGUGUUUGUAUUUUCAAUUUAAUAUGAUGGGAAAUGGCGAAAACAUUUGUGCGAACACCUGCUGUGGACAUUUCUGCUGCGCCAAUCAGGGCGACGGCAGCAAUCCUGAGUUGCGCUCCACCUGGUCAAGGUCGACUCUUCGGAAAAAUGCAAAUGGAGAGCAUAUUUUCAAGUACGAUUGUCCUCAAAAGGGUCACAAAGGAGCUUAGGGUCAAUGUUGAGCAAGAGGUUUGGGUUUUUUUUUCCCUAGCAAGUGGGCUUAUAUUUCAAAUGUCGUCCAUAUUUCUUUUCUUGUACAGUAUUUUGGAAAAUUGCCUCUAAAUGUUGCUAAAGGCUGCAAUGAUCUCAUUUUGGACAUGAGAGCAUGUUGUGCACUUUUAUUUAGUCAUCUCUUCAAGAUUUCAACUCGAGUCACCCACCUGAGCACAAUUACUCUGCCGGAGCUCUGCUCAACUUUGGACCCGAGUCGAGUUGGCGUGGACAUUAUCGUGUCCUCCCAUCUCUGCUUUUCAUCAAGAUCAUCCCGCUGGUGCUCUAUCCCGGCUCUCCAUCCUGGAGAACAAAAGGCAUGUCAAUCAUGAAAACACGACAUUGAUUUUGCAUCAUAACAUUUGGUGGGGCUAUCUACCAUGAAAAGACCUACAAAAAAAAAAAGCAACAUUAAUAUUGGGAGACGUGCAUUUAAUGACUGUUUGAAAGUAAAAUAAUUUGUUGUCUUUUCUUUUUUUUUUUUUAAUCGCUGUUACUUUAAUGACAAAAAGUCAAAAACGGCGCAGAAAUCACAUGACACUACCGAGCCACAUGGUGACUAAUGGCACCGUCCAUACUGAUCCUUCAUGUUUUUUUCCCCUCCUGAUUGCUUUAAAGAAUAUAUAUGACCAAAAAUAAAAAGCAACGCCAAAAGAAAGGCAGGCGGUUAGCUCAGCACUUGGCAGGCGCUCUAAUUAAAACCAAA
This is a long non-coding RNA of Syngnathus acus (greater pipefish), 1628 nucleotides long. RefSeq lists it as uncharacterized. The record is from RefSeq and is a predicted model, not a curated record. The transcript is spliced from 2 exons. NCBI's taxonomy places the organism in Eukaryota, Metazoa, Chordata, Actinopteri, Syngnathiformes, Syngnathidae.